Molecule: ribosomal RNA, 477 nt
Filed under: uncultured bacterium
Lineage: Bacteria
Description: partial 16S ribosomal RNA
Rfam family: Bacterial small subunit ribosomal RNA
Source: RNAcentral
AUUGAACGCUGGCGGCAUGCCUUACACAUGCAAGUCGAACGGUAACAGGUUAAGCUGACGAGUGGCGAACGGGUGAGUAAUGUAUCGGAACGUGCCCAGUCGUGGGGGAUAACUGCUCGAAAGAGCAGCUAAUACCGCAUACGACCUGAGGGUGAAAGCGGGGGAUCGCAAGACCUCGCGCGAUUGGAGCGGCCGAUAUCAGAUUAGGUAGUUGGUGAGGUAAAGGCUCACCAAGCCGACGAUCUGUAGCUGGUCUGAGAGGACGACCAGCCACACUGGGACUGAGACACGGCCCAGACUCCUACGGGAAGCAGCAGUGGGGAAUUUUGGACAAUGGGCGCAAGCCUGAUCCAGCCAUGCCGCGUGCGGGAAGAAGGCCUUCGGGUUGUAAACCGCUUUUGUCAGGGAAGAAAAGGUUCUGGCUAAUACCUGGGACUCAUGACGGUACCUGAAGAAUAAGCACCGGCUAACUACGUG